This is a non-coding RNA of Pteropus alecto (black flying fox), 74 nucleotides long. The record is from Rfam. NCBI's taxonomy places the organism in Eukaryota, Metazoa, Chordata, Mammalia, Chiroptera, Pteropodidae.
GGCUCCAUAGUGUAGUGGUUAGCACAUCUGCUUUACACACAGAAGGUCCUGGGUUCGCACUCCAGGUAGAGCCA